ACACAUCAGACCUCAGGCUGGCUCGCCUGGCCUGCCAGACACAUGCUCAGCGGAGCCAGGUGUGAGUCUGGGGUCUGCCGCCUGGCCCUUCCUCCCUGGGGUGCAUGGGCCAUCCGGGUGGGAGCGCCAGGAGCCAGGGCUGCUAUUCCCAGACUGCAGGAGAACCGCAGCCCUGUGCCUCCCUCAGGUCUGAGCUCUCGCCUAGGCUUCCUGGGAAAGGAAAACGCCCCCACCUGUUCCAUGGGUGCAGUCUGCACUGGGAGCUUGCAAGCCAAGCCUGACUGAGGGAGGUGACAGGGACCCUGGCAUUUCUCUGUUUAUUCUGCAUCCUUUUAACAUUGUUGUUACAAAAAUAAACACUCCCAAAGUAGAAAAUUUAGAAAAUACGGAUAAGACCAAAAAAGAAACAAAUGAAAACCACCCACAAUGCUGCCUCCCAGAAGCAAGUUCACUUUCCUUUUCCUUCCAGUCUUUUUUCUGCGGGGCAGGUGCGCGUGCAUGUGCUCCUUACCCAAAUGGGCCCCUGGGUAAGCUCUGCCUGGGGAAUCUGUUUCUUCAGUUCACUGUACGGUGAGCACGUUUCCACGUCAAAGUGCAUUUUCCUUUGCCAUCCUUUCUGCCCGUCAUGUGUUUUCGGCUAGGGCGCUUGGAGCGGGGCCGCGGGUCCCAGCUGGAUCCCGCCUCCAGCCCCUUUAGGAAGGGUGCUGGGCCGGCCAGCCGGGGGUGUUGAGUAAAGGAAAGGCCCCAGGGCGGCUGUUUGCAACAAGAGCCCCGCCCCAGCCCCACCCUGACUCCUGGGGCCUUCGACUAGUCACCUCCCCCCUGGGCCUCAGUUUCUUGACCCAAAACACGGGAUGGUUGGGCUCAGGGCUUUGGCAGCUCUAAUGUCCCAUGAGUAAGCACUUGGAGACUCACAGGAUUCCAGAAACCUCUGGGAGCGUUGGCUGCUGCGGGGAAGAUGCUUGUUCCCAGUGAGGAAGAUUGUCACUCAGCUAACAUCUGUGCCAAUCUUCCCCCAUUCUGUUUGUGGGACACCACCACAGCAUGGCGUGAUGAGUGGUGUCUAGGUUUGCACCCAGGAUCUGAACCGGUGAACCCUAGGCCACUGAAGCGGAGCGUGCAGACUUAACCACUACACCACUGGGCCAGCCUGGCUUUCCUUUCCUUUUAAGGCUCAAUAAUGUUCCAUUGUAUGUCUACGCCACAUUUUGCUUAUCCAUUCAUCCCUCAGUGGACACUUGGGCAGCUUCCACCUUUUAGCCAUUGUGAAUAGUGCUGCUUGGAACACGGAUGUGCAAACACCUGCUCAAGAGGCUGCUUCCAACUCUGGCGCACAUCCAGAAGUGGCAUUGCUGGACCAGAUGGUAAUUCUAUUUUGAAUUGUUUGAGGAACCACUAUGCUGUUUUCUAUAAUGGCUGCAUCAUUUGACCUUUCCACUAACAGUGCACAAGGUAGCGGUGUCUCCACGUCCUUGUCAACACUGGUGAGAGUAGUCAUCCGAGUGGGGGAGAGGUGACAUUUCACUGUGUUCUUGAUUUGCAUUUCUCUAAUGACGAGUGAGAUCGAGCAUCGUUUCGUAUGUUUGCUGGUUUAAUCUGCUUUAAUUUUUUUUAAAGAUUGGUACCUGAGCUAACAACUGUUGCCAAUCUUUUUUUUUUUUUUUUUGCGUUAUCUCCCCUAAUCCCCCCAGAACAUAGUUGCAUAUCUUAGUUGCAGGUCCUUCUGGUUGUGGCAUGUGGGACACCACCUCAACGUGGCCUGACGAGCGGUGCCAUGUCCACGCUUAGGAUCCGAACCGGCGAAAUCCUGGGCCGCUGAAGUGGAGCACGCGAACUUAACCACUCGGCCAUGGGGCCAGCUCCUGCUUUAAUUUUUGUUUACAUUUUUUCAUUAUAUUUGGAGGUCUUAUCCUAGUGAUGUGAUGUUUCCACUUUCCGGUCUUACCGGGACUACCCCAACUUUGCCAACAGUUGCUCAAGUCUGGAAGGAGUUACAUCUCAGUGGUGGGAGGAAAAGCUCAUGUUCUGAGCAUCAUGCUCGUCAGAUGUAUGCCGGCCUGCAGCGAGGGUCCACUCUAGGUGUCUCCACUCUGUGGCAAGUGGGGUAAAACAGAAGGGGCUUUUGUGGGGGGCGGUGCUUCAUUUCAGGGGCAGUAUUAGAAAGCUCCCUGUGGCUACAUAUUUAAGAUGUUCUUUUCUUCAGCCUUUUCCUAGCAAUAAAGUUGGUAUCUUGAUCCCCACCUAUCUGUCUUCUGAAUAUAUUUCUUAUGUGAGUUCUUUGUGAACUCAAGAAGGAAGGUAAAAACAUGAUCUGUUGGACCCCUAAACCUUAACCCAGACCACAAAAUCAAAAUCAGUAGGCAUUUAAUUUAAUACAAAAACCUCACAUUUCAUCUACGAGUUUACUGUUCUUAUAUAUUCUGCUGCUCCUAUAUGAUUAUAUUUCCUGCAGGAUGGCGGGAGUGAAUGUGCCUGAUGUGAUUUGCAGUGUAGUUUCCGAAAUUAAGAGGGCCAGAGCCCCACAAAGGCUUUAAAGAGGCUUUCAAGAGGUCAGGUAAGCCUGAGACCGGCCUACAGUCUCUGUUCCGGAUGGACGGCAGGUUUGUGACGGGAGCAGGCAGUGCGGGUGCGGGUGUCCAUGGAGUAAAAAGUUCUAAAAUAGUUUGCCUGUUGGAUUGCUGCAAACCACGCUGCAUUUGCCCCUAGAAAACAUUCUGGGUUUCAGCCACACGGUGUUGAGUCCGCUUAGUCUAAAGGGACAGAGAAGUGGUGUUAGUGUCAGUGGGCCGCCCCUCAGGGCUAAGAUCUAUGGCAUUUAUGCGGUUUUGUUUUGUUCAAUCCUUGUAUGCACGCCUCACUACAACCCUGUGGAUUGAGGAUGAUAUUAGCCUUGUUUUACAUCUGAGGACACUGAGACUUAAAGAGUCAAGUCGUUUGCCCGAGGUCACACAGCUAGCAGGUGCCGACCCUGGGUUCUGACCCGCUCCCUGCGACUCCACUCUUCGUACUGACUCCAUGUUACAGUCGAACCGUUCAUGACCAUCUCCAUUCCUGAUACAUUUUCUGAGGAAACAAUCCAAGAGAAACAAAAAGUCACAUGCAUAAAAAUUUCCCUUAGAAUGUUUUAUGGAAUUGUGGCCAGAGGAGCAAAUGGAAGGGACACGAGAAGGGAGCUAUUUCAGUACGUUCUGGUCCAAUACGUUCUGUAGAAGCCCAGGCCUGCUCUACGAUGGGAACUCUGGACGUUACGCUGGACACGAAGCCCCGUAGAUGACAAAGCUAAACGGACAAGGCAGAAGAGAACACGAUGUGUGCUCCACGACGGCAACAGUGUGACAAGGCACAUUUGCCCAUGUGUGCUCAAAACUGAAGGGAAAGAUGCAAAAACAGAAACAACUUUUACUAACAAGCAGGAUCUGGGUGAAUUUUUUUUUUAACCAGUAGUGUUCUCAACGCUGCCAAGGCUCUACCUUGUCAAUAAAAGCUGUGCGAGGUGCUGAGGGCAUAGCCCACGGCGGGGAGGGGGCCCACAGGCCAGCCGGGGAGUCGGAGUGGCCCGGCCACACUCCGCCUGCCGACAGUGGCCAGGCUGGGAGAAGGCCGCAGCGGACUGCCCUCCUCGCCAGUCCCGGGGCUCCUUCAGCUUGAAGCAGACGCGAGGCCCUGCGCGCAGUUUCCUGUGAGCAUCGCACGGGGAAGGGGGAUUUCCGCCCUGACUCCAGACAGCCUGAAUCCUGAAGAUCCAACAUGUUGGGGAAGUUUUCCCAAACUUGCCCAGAGUGCUGAUGACACCACCGAGACGAGACGCAGGCAGGACUGGGGCGGCGCGAGUGACCAGAGAAGCCCGUCACGCUUUCCUGAGGGAAGGGAGAGGUGUGAAGCGGGGAUGUCCUGCGGGCGGCACCGCAGAGCCAUCCUUCUGCUCUGAGAGUUCUCAUGGCUUUACCCACAUCCACCAUCCGUGGACCAGACUUGCUGGUGACGAGUGACCUUCUAAACUCAUUGACCCAGAGCCUACAGUGACCGACCGGACUUUGAAAGUUCUGAUGGUUGCCACUGGGGCAUCAGCUGGCUGGCAUAAGAGGGGCUGACAGGACCUUGUCUGAGGGACGUCACCUGGUGGUUCUGCCUCCUGCUGCCCCCUCACUCCCAUCACGUUUCAGCGGCCACCUGACUGGGCUACUCGCAGCACGUGAGAAAACCAUACGAUGAAAGAUCCUUUUCUUCCUGCCUACUUCCUUUCUUCAGCUUUGGACAUUGUCAUGUGAGGAUUUAGUGCCUGGAUCUGCAGCAGCUAUUUUGUGAGAUGAGGCAAAGAGCAUGAGAAUGGAAGCUGGUGUGCUAAGAGUGGUACAGAAGGAUGAACAGAUUUUGUGUGACACUGUCAUUGAGCUACUGAACCAACCCUGGAACUACUUUUUUCUGUGCUUUUUGUUAAGAAAACAAUAAAGCCUUUCUCUUAAAAAAG
Molecule: long non-coding RNA, 4468 nt
Filed under: Equus asinus (donkey)
Lineage: Eukaryota; Metazoa; Chordata; Mammalia; Perissodactyla; Equidae
Description: lncRNA (ENSEASG00005032239.1)
Source: RNAcentral